UACAGAGGGUGCAAGCGUUGUUCGGAAUUAUUGGGCGUAAAGCGCGUGUAGGCGGUUUGGCAAGUCGGGUGUGAAAGCCCUCAGCUCAACUGAGGAAGUGCGCCCGAAACUGCUGGACUUGAGUGCCGGAGAGGGUGGCGGAAUUCCCCAAGUAGAGGUGAAAUUCGUAGAUAUGGGGAGGAACACCGGUGGCGAAGGCGGCCACCUGGACGGUGACUGACGCUGAGACGCGAAAGCGUGGGGAGCAAACAGG
This 253-nucleotide ribosomal RNA is filed under the name uncultured bacterium. RNAcentral describes it as "partial 16S ribosomal RNA". It matches the Rfam family "Bacterial small subunit ribosomal RNA", at positions 524 to 776 of the family's 1533-position model. The record is from RNAcentral.